This 508-nucleotide ribosomal RNA is filed under the name uncultured bacterium. RNAcentral describes it as "bacterial SSU rRNA". It matches the Rfam family "Bacterial small subunit ribosomal RNA", at positions 8 to 518 of the family's 1533-position model. The record is from RNAcentral.
AGAGUUUGAUUAUGGCUCAGGAUGAACGCUGGCGGCGUGCUUAACACAUGCAAGUCGAACGAAGCAAUUAAGCGGAAGUUUCGGAUGGAAGCUUAAUUGACUUAGUGGCGGACGGGUGAGGAACCCGUGGGUAACCUGCCUUAUACUGGGGGAUAACAGUUGGAAACGACUGCUAAUACCGCAUAAUAAAGAAUAUCGCAUGAUUUUCUUUUGAAAUAUUUAUAGGUAUAAGAUGGACCCGCGUCUGAUUAGCUAGUUGGUGAGGUAACUGCUCACCAAGGCGACGAUCAGUAGCCGGCUUGAGAGAGUGACCGGCCACAUUGGGACUGAGACACGGCCCAAACUCCUACGGGAGGCAGCAGUGGGGAAUAUUGCACAAUGGGGGAAACCCUGAUGCAGCGACGCCGCGUGAGUGAAGAAGUAUUUCGGUAUGUAAAGCUCUAUCAGCAGGGAAGAUAAUGACGGUACCUGACUAAGAAGCCCCGGCUAACUACGUGCCAGCCGCCGC